Molecule: ribosomal RNA, 1512 nt
Filed under: Lacticaseibacillus paracasei
Lineage: Bacteria; Bacillati; Bacillota; Bacilli; Lactobacillales; Lactobacillaceae
Description: bacterial SSU rRNA
Rfam family: Bacterial small subunit ribosomal RNA
Source: RNAcentral
GGGACUUGGCGGCAUACUAUACAUGCAAGUCGAACGAGUUCUCGUUGAUGAUCGGUGCUUGCACCGAGAUUCAACAUGGAACGAGUGGCGGACGGGUGAGUAACACGUGGGUAACCUGCCCUUAAGUGGGGGAUAACAUUUGGAAACAGAUGCUAAUACCGCAUAGAUCCAAGAACCGCAUGGUUCUUGGCUGAAAGAUGGCGUAAGCUAUCGCUUUUGGAUGGACCCGCGGCGUAUUAGCUAGUUGGUGAGGUAAUGGCUCACCAAGGCGAUGAUACGUAGCCGAACUGAGAGGUUGAUCGGCCACAUUGGGACUGAGACACGGCCCAAACUCCUACGGGAGGCAGCAGUAGGGAAUCUUCCACAAUGGACGCAAGUCUGAUGGAGCAACGCCGCGUGAGUGAAGAAGGCUUUCGGGUCGUAAAACUCUGUUGUUGGAGAAGAAUGGUCGGCAGAGUAACUGUUGUCGGCGUGACGGUAUCCAACCAGAAAGCCACGGCUAACUACGUGCCAGCAGCCGCGGUAAUACGUAGGUGGCAAGCGUUAUCCGGAUUUAUUGGGCGUAAAGCGAGCGCAGGCGGUUUUUUAAGUCUGAUGUGAAAGCCCUCGGCUUAACCGAGGAAGCGCAUCGGAAACUGGGAAACUUGAGUGCAGAAGAGGACAGUGGAACUCCAUGUGUAGCGGUGAAAUGCGUAGAUAUAUGGAAGAACACCAGUGGCGAAGGCGGCUGUCUGGUCUGUAACUGACGCUGAGGCUCGAAAGCAUGGGUAGCGAACAGGAUUAGAUACCCUGGUAGUCCAUGCCGUAAACGAUGAAUGCUAGGUGUUGGAGGGUUUCCGCCCUUCAGUGCCGCAGCUAACGCAUUAAGCAUUCCGCCUGGGGAGUACGACCGCAAGGUUGAAACUCAAAGGAAUUGACGGGGGCCCGCACAAGCGGUGGAGCAUGUGGUUUAAUUCGAAGCAACGCGAAGAACCUUACCAGGUCUUGACAUCUUUUGAUCACCUGAGAGAUCAGGUUUCCCCUUCGGGGGCAAAAUGACAGGUGGUGCAUGGUUGUCGUCAGCUCGUGUCGUGAGAUGUUGGGUUAAGUCCCGCAACGAGCGCAACCCUUAUGACUAGUUGCCAGCAUUUAGUUGGGCACUCUAGUAAGACUGCCGGUGACAAACCGGAGGAAGGUGGGGAUGACGUCAAAUCAUCAUGCCCCUUAUGACCUGGGCUACACACGUGCUACAAUGGAUGGUACAACGAGUUGCGAGACCGCGAGGUCAAGCUAAUCUCUUAAAGCCAUUCUCAGUUCGGACUGUAGGCUGCAACUCGCCUACACGAAGUCGGAAUCGCUAGUAAUCGCGGAUCAGCACGCCGCGGUGAAUACGUUCCCGGGCCUUGUACACACCGCCCGUCACACCAUGAGAGUUUGUAACACCCGAAGCCGGUGGCGUAACCCUUUUAGGGAGCGAGCCGUCUAAGGUGGGACAAAUGAUUAGGGUGAAGUCGUAACAAGUGCCAAGCCCAU